Long non-coding RNA from Herpailurus yagouaroundi (jaguarundi), 1297 nucleotides. RefSeq lists it as uncharacterized. NCBI's taxonomy places the organism in Eukaryota, Metazoa, Chordata, Mammalia, Carnivora, Felidae. The transcript is spliced from 4 exons. The record is from RefSeq and is a predicted model, not a curated record.
AGAUCGUGACCUGAGCCGAAGUCGGACGCUUUAACCGACUAAGCCACCCGGGCACCCCUGCCUGUUUCAUUCUUGACCACAUACUUGAACAGGGCCACCCUGACAGUCACCGAAAGUGUACCUGGAGACGCCCGUGCAGGUGCAGGCAUUUCUGGGGUGGAGGGUUCUGGAGUCCACCCCCGUGGCUCUGCCCUCACCCCCGCCUACCAGGCCCACACUCCCACCUGCUCACCAAGGCUCCCUGGCCCCCCGGGGCUGGCCUCUGGCCACCUGUGUGCCCUGGUGCACAUCCACCCAUCCACACCUGACGUUCUGUGUGGCUGCCGCUGGCCACCGGGGAGCCCCGACCCCCAAGGGUAGUGAGCUCCGGCAGGGGCCCAUGUCCAGCAAGGGGCGCUGGCCCAACUGCAUCUCUGCCCGCGAGGCCCCAGGACACCGUCCGCGAUGGCCCGCUGGGAAGCGUGGCUGUGCUGGCUGUGGCUUGUGGCCCAGAAAGUGCCUCAGAGUCACUCCUGCCCACGGCCAAGCCGUGCAGGCAGCAUCGCCACCAGGCCGCGAAACCCAGGCGCGUGCCAGCCCCUCUCGUGGGAAGGAGGACAAAGGCUGGCCCUGCCCCCGCCGUGCCCACUGGUCCUCUCCCGGUAUCUCCAGUUUCUUGCAGGAGCCUCCAGUACGGCAGCUCGUCCGCAGAGUGGCCCUCGGAGAGCGGCCCUGUCUCCUCCAGGAGGCGCAGCCUAGCGUGGCAGUGUGGCAGAGGUGGGCAGGGAGCGGAGCGGCCGGCUGACGUCUCUGCGGCAGCCCAGUGGCUCCAGCGGCAGGCCCGGGGGUGUAAUCAGUUAAGAUGGGGCCUCCUGAAGUCCUGACUGCCGUCCUCACGAAAAGGGGAUUUUGGACAGACGCACAGAGGGAAGAUACCACCUGCAAACCAAGGCAGGGGGCCUGGAGCAGACCCUUCCCUUGUACCCUUCAAAAGGAAUCAACCCUGCCCAUGGCUGGACCGUGGGCUUCCAGGCUCCAGAACUCCUGUGCAAACGGAGAUAGUCCCCAGUUGUGAGAACCAAACCUGGCAGAGCAAGUGAAGACGGGGUCUGGGACUUCGGCACACGGGGAGACCUGGAAGCCGCUCCUUGAGGCCCCGCUGCCCCUGUGCUACAGGACAGAUGAAGGGGGCGAGGGGAAGGUGCGGCCAGGGUGGACCCAUCUGGUGACUCCCAGGCUGGGCAUCGAGGGUGGAUUAAACUAGGCAAGAUGCCUGACCUGUACUUCAGAAUUAAAUUUCUUUGCAUCUUGCUCCAAA